UCAAACUUGGUCAUUUAGAGGAAGUAAAAGUCGUAACAAGGUCUCCGUUGGUGAACCAGCGGAGGGAUCAUUACGAAGAGUGUAAACUCCAAACCCACUGUGAAUUUACUAUAGUUGCUUCGGCGGGCAGUCCCUGGGAGGGGCCCAGCCUAUUUUUUAGGUGCCCGCCGACAGCAUAUUCAAAUUCUUUUUUUUAGGCUGUCUGAGCAAUUAAAAAAAAUAAGUCAAAACUUUCAACAAUGGAUCUCUUGGUUCUGGCAUCGAUGAAGAACGCAGC
RNAcentral lists this unclassified non-coding RNA (277 nucleotides) under uncultured fungus. Its description in RNAcentral is "partial contains small subunit ribosomal RNA, internal transcribed spacer 1, and 5.8S ribosomal RNA". The stretch from base 1 to 73 matches the Rfam family "Eukaryotic small subunit ribosomal RNA", at positions 1759 to 1831 of the family's 1831-position model. The record is from RNAcentral. Lineage: Eukaryota; Fungi.